This 206-nucleotide unclassified non-coding RNA is filed under the name Hevea brasiliensis (rubber tree). Lineage: Eukaryota; Viridiplantae; Streptophyta; Magnoliopsida; Malpighiales; Euphorbiaceae. The record is from RNAcentral.
AUUGCAACAAGAUUUAUGCCUGCACCCUUCUUCUCCCUCAAUUUAAUAUAUGAGCGAGAAAGCUUUGGUUCUCAUGCAUUUUUUUUUCCUACUUCAAUACCUAAUCCUUUGGAUGAUUACAAUGUCAGAAUUUUUUCUUAUUUGUUUCUUUAAGGUCAUCGAAUGCCCAGUAUUUGGCUGUGUCUUCUCAAGAUGGUUACUGUACU